Non-coding RNA from Gorgonomyces haynaldii, 82 nucleotides. The record is from the annotation of a GenBank genome assembly. Lineage: Eukaryota; Fungi; Chytridiomycota; Chytridiomycetes; Rhizophydiales; Gorgonomycetaceae.
GGCACUAUGGCCGAGCGGUCUAUGGCGCUGCACUCAAGUUGCAGUAUCGAAAGAUGCGUGGGUUCGAAUCCCACUGGUGUCA